This is a long non-coding RNA of Brachypodium distachyon (stiff brome), 336 nucleotides long. RefSeq lists it as uncharacterized. The record is from RefSeq and is a predicted model, not a curated record. NCBI's taxonomy places the organism in Eukaryota, Viridiplantae, Streptophyta, Magnoliopsida, Poales, Poaceae. The transcript has 2 exons.
GCAGCGCCGCCCGCUCGUCGCCGCCGGCCACGCCGGAGACGGAGAAGAAGAAGACGGCCACUGCCGCUAGCAACAGAGUCUGCACUCUUGCCGCCAUUGGAAUAUGUCCAAAAACUACAAUCCGACUCCAGGAAGAAGAAGAGGAGGAGGAGGAAGAAGAAGGAGAGCAGAGGCUGCAAUGAAAACCUCAAACUUUAUCUAUAUAUGUAGGUAUCAUCAUCAAGCACUGCAUGGUGAGGUGUGAGCUAGGAGAGAACAUUUGUUUCUUGUACUAAAAUAAAAACCGUCUUGGCAUUUUUCAACAUGGCAUGGCAUGCAAUUUGCUGCUUUGUUUAA